Molecule: long non-coding RNA, 218 nt
Organism: Alnus glutinosa
Lineage: Eukaryota; Viridiplantae; Streptophyta; Magnoliopsida; Fagales; Betulaceae
Exons: 3
Source: RefSeq, a predicted model, not a curated record
UUCUCCUGUCGCACACCAGAGUGAGUAAGAGAGAACGGAUCUGAGAGAGAGAGCUGAUUCGUGACUCUGUGAGAGAGACGCAAAAAUUAGAAGAAGAAGAAGAAGAGAAGAGUAUGGGUUUUCAGCAGAGAUCAAGAAAGAAGAGAGCGGCACUUUGCGGGUCAAACCUAGGAUUGUUGGAAUCGGGAGUACGAGCAAUCCAAUCAACCCCCGCAACC